Molecule: small nuclear RNA, 19 nt
Filed under: Arabidopsis thaliana (thale cress)
Lineage: Eukaryota; Viridiplantae; Streptophyta; Magnoliopsida; Brassicales; Brassicaceae
Description: snRNA_07006
Source: RNAcentral
CUCGGGGGUCCCAGUUCCG